RNAcentral lists this ribosomal RNA (663 nucleotides) under Pterygodium inversum. RNAcentral's name for it is "eukaryotic LSU rRNA". The stretch from base 210 to 365 matches the Rfam family "5.8S ribosomal RNA". The record is from RNAcentral. Lineage: Eukaryota; Viridiplantae; Streptophyta; Magnoliopsida; Asparagales; Orchidaceae.
AACAUGUGAAUAAUAUGGCAGCUACCUAUUGCUGCCGCGCACCCGCCCAUCUGUCGCAUGAGUACUCGUGGAAGGCCUCAUUAUACAGGUGGUCGGGAGAUCAAACGGGCGCAGCUCUGCGCCAAGGAAAAUAUGCAGCAUGAGCGUUGACGGCAUAUCCUAGAAACGUAUGUUUUGGCGGAUGGCAGUUUGCUCUCUAAGAGUCAUAGGACUCUCGGCAAUGGAUAUCUUGGCUCUCGCAUCGAUGAAGAGCGCAGCGAAAUGCGAUACGUGGUGCGAAUUGCAGAAUCCCGUGAACCAUCGAGUUUUUGAACGCAAGUUGCGCCUGAGGCCAUCUGGCCAAGGGCACGUCCGCCUGGGCGUCAAGCAUUAGCAUCGCUCCACUUAACACGCACCAUCAUCGAGAUGGGGCGGUGUUAUCCAGGAUGCGGGAAUGGCCCGUCGUGCAUUGCUGCGCGGCGGGUUGAAGAGAGGGAUGAUUUCUCUYGGCGACGAUCGAUAAAUGGGUGGGAUGGAAGCCCCAAUUGAUCCUCAUCAUCGUAUGGUCGCCUUGAGAAAGCUAACAAAUCCCGGCGUAACCCGGCUCAAGUGCUGUUUGAAGCAAAAUUGAAAUGCGACCCCAGGAUGGGCGGGGUGACCCGCUGAGUUUAAGCAUAUCAAUAA